Molecule: long non-coding RNA, 2537 nt
Filed under: Zea mays
Lineage: Eukaryota; Viridiplantae; Streptophyta; Magnoliopsida; Poales; Poaceae
Description: long non-coding RNA (ZMAY_LNC002523)
Source: RNAcentral
AGCGAGCCUGGUCUCAGCUCCGCCGUUCGGCUAUGGAUGUGUGAAUCCGCACCUCAAGCUCCCUGUGUCGCGUUCUGUUCGCCUAAACCACAUUUCGCCUGUCAGUUCCUGCUCGCCAGUGCGCCCUCUCGGCUCGCUCGGCUUUAAUCUCCAAUCGUGUCGUCGACCUUGUCGUUCGUCGUCACGUCGUUCGCCGUCAAGCCUCACUGCCAUUCCUGUUGUGCCUCGCUUCUGAUGUGUUCGAUUAAAUGUAGGACCAAAAAUCCAAGAUGUCGCUCCUCCUCGCUGUGAAAUCCUCACGCUCACCAUUCUCUAUUCGAUCUCGUCGUCAAGCUGAAGGCCGUCGUCGUUCAGGCAACUACCAAAUCGAGUUGUGAUGUGGUGAGCCGAUUCGCUAUUUUUACUCUCGGUUUUGUGAUCGUAAAAUAAGACGCUUUGUAUACGUAUACGAUUAAGUUAGAAAUACCAGUAAUGCGAGGUGUGCGCUUGGUAAUUAUGGCUUGAUCCGUUAUUAUGUCGUUAGGUUGUGUGAUGUUAUGGGGUCGAUGAUAGAAGUGGAAUUCUAGCUGUUGGGCGAUGACGGGAAGGACAUUGUUCAUCGCAUGCUUAAUGUUUGAUGGAUAGUCCGAACCGGAAUCAUCGUCGUUCUCAUGAAUUUUGUAUCGACUAGUAAUAGUACACUGGAUUCGCUAGUUUUUAUUAUUAGUUCAAGGCUUGGAUUAAUUAGUUAUAUUAGUUGCGUCAGUUCUCCGGACGGUAGUAACCGUGUGUUGUGGUUGUAUUAAUUAUUUAUUAAAAUGCUUCAUUAUAUAUAGUGUAUUGGUUUAUACAUAUAUAUACAUAUGAGAUGUGUAGAUGAUGAGUAGGAUAGGUUUAGUGUUCUAAUUAAUUAACUGAUAAGUUGUGUUUAGACUAAUUAUAUUAAAUAUGUAUUGUUUGUUGUUUAGUGAUGUUUGCGUUAGAUUCAGUUAAUCUAGAGAAGCGUGAUUAUUGUGCUUAGUCGUACGUCGAUAAUUAGUGUCUCCGUAUGAAAAUGUUCAACGCCUCGCCGCUAGGUGUUUAAUUCGCUAUCGCAAGCACUAUUUAGGUUUGCGAUAUUCCUGUCUAUAUGCAUUCAUGUGCAUAAUGCAUUUCAUUCAGGUACGUGAAUUAACCACGUGAUGUAGAGAACCAGAACUGAGUCGACCACAAGAUGGUGCUGCUGAACGAAACUGAAGGUGGACAGACGAAACAAGUGUCAGAACAAAAGAUACUCGUCAAGCGGACGUCAUCUAUCAAACACUAACAUAGUGUUUAUUCCAUGCAAGCUCCGGUGCAUGCAACCCCUUUCCUUGUGUUUUUAAAUAAUUUUCACACACUUUAAGUCUAGUGAAUGUGCAUUAGGUUUAUAGGAGUUGCUUGGAAACCCUUUGAUGCAUUGCCUUCCUUGAUAUCCAUACCUUUAUAGAUACUUCUGAUGAAGUAUCAAAAUAUGAUUUAUAAAAUUGCUUAGCCUUGCUUAGAGGUAAAUCUUGUGGAUAGAGGUUGUCCUUUGCAUUGAUGCCUAGCUCAGGGGUUAUCUUGAGGAAGGAUGGCUUCUGCCUGCAAGAAUAUUUUCAUUGGGAGCAAUGGUGGGAUCUUACUGCAAAGUUCCCUGUGAUGCUCUUUUCAUCCUAAGGAACACAAACAAUCCUAAGGGUGGAAAUACUUAAAUCAGGACUUGGGCUAGGAACAGGUGAUGUUCUACCUAGGUUGAUUAAGGAAUGAAUGCGUAUGUAGGCGUGCUGAUCGAGGACCCUUUAACUGGUCACAUGCCUCGUCAUGGGUAAGCCUUGCCUCGGGCAGACUAAGGCUAGAAUAAGAUAACACGGAAUGGGCGUGGAGCAGUGGCAAGAGUAGCGUGUACCCUCCGUGGCAAGAGGCUGGACGGUGGUGUAUCUGUGCUCUCGGUUCGCGUGAACCUGAUCUGGUCUUAAGAACCCUGGUGGCGGGUUGACAUAUGCAAGGGUUAAGUGCUACAUAUGUCGUGUGAUUGGAGAUCCUUAGCUGAGUAUAAUCGAUUCGGAUCGCCGUACCUUCGCGGUUAUGAAGACUUGGUCACUUCCCUACAACCUAAGUCAGGAUGUGAACCUCAAGAAUAAAAAUGAUGUUGUAUUGAUGAGAUGGUGAAAUAAGACCAGAUGCAAACAGAGUCUAUUAAUAUUUAAUCUGGCGUUAAAACAUUGAAAGUAAGGAAUCACUUUAGUAAGCUAUUUCUGCAAAAGUAUCUAAGUUGAUUCUUGCUAAAGCCUCUCCUUGAUUCCCAAUUCCAGCAUACCCUUGAGAGUCUUUUCUUUAGUCGGGUAAGUCUUGCUGAGUAAUUCCAUACUCAGGGUUUUAUUCCGUGUUGUUUUUCAGGAUAUAACUUUGUGCUGCUGUGAUGGUGUUAAGUGCCGGUGGGCUCGGCCUUCUUAUAUAAGUAUACCUCGUCUUUAUAUUCUUAUUGAGGAUGGUCACUUGAGCUAGCAUAUAUUUCAAACUUAUAGUUUUGUAAUCACUCCGAUAAAAUAAUUGUUGGG